This 1129-nucleotide long non-coding RNA is filed under the name Mustela putorius furo (domestic ferret). Its description in RNAcentral is "lncRNA (ENSMPUG00000025354.1)". Lineage: Eukaryota; Metazoa; Chordata; Mammalia; Carnivora; Mustelidae. The record is from RNAcentral.
GUGGUUUAAAAGAGUGGCUGUUAAGUUUUUGGUACUAGUCAGAGUGGGGGUUAUGUGCCCUUUGCUUUUAUCUGGGCUAGCUUGUGAUGGUUUUUACCAGUCAACAGUAGAAGUGACAUGAGGUGACGUGUGGGCCUAGAUUAUACAAGACCAUGCUGCUUUUGCCUUAUUCGCUCCUGGAGCCCUGAACUACCAGGUACAAUGUCUGGUUACACUGAUAUCACAUGCUGGGAGGUCAUGCAUGGUGCUCUACUUAAUACACUUAGUUCUACUGGUUCUUCAACCAUCCUUGUCCAGGCAUGUGUGCAUGAAUCUUCAUGUACAGAAGACAUCCUGGGACCCUCUAGGCCAGCCCAUCUGCCAACUGAAUACCAGAAUCAUUUUUGUCAAACCUACAUGGAACAGAAGAAUCACCCAGCUGAUCCAUAGUCGCAUUCCAGACCCACAAAACUGUGCAAUAUAAUAAAAUGAUUUUUGUCAAAUAAAGAAAUAAAAUCUUUUAAAAAAUUUACUUGCUUAUAAUAAUGUAAACAGCUGGAUAAUGAUUUAACCAGAAAUUGUAGUAUAACUAUUUUGUUGUAAGUCAACAACAAUUCAAAGUUUGGGGAUAGUUUGUAAUAUAAUAAUAGAUGACUGUAAAAUAUUUUAUUAGAAGGCAACUUUUAAUGGUAGCUUCCACACCCUCAAGAUUAUAUUUGGUCUGCAGAUACUGUCCGAAACUCCAAAACCCAUGGUGCUUGGUUCCUUACUGGGGGCUGAGGAGCCAGCCCACCACCAAGUCCUACAAAAGCCUCCAAUCCUUAAUCUAUGGAAUCCAACAGUCUUUCCAAGUUGGGUCACCUUCUUCUCUUACUCUCCAAGCAAAACUCAAUUCCCUGACUGCAUCUCACAAAACAAAUUUAGCCUUUUUUUUAGAGAGAGGGUGAGAGAGAGAGAGAGCACAACCAGGGGGAACUGCAGGAAGAGGGAGAGGGAGAAGCAGCCUCCCCGCUGAUCAGGGAACCUGAUGCCUGGCUUGAUUCCAGGAUGCCUGGACCAUGACUCAAGGCAAAGGCAGACUCUUAACCAGCUGAGCCAUUUUUACAUUUUUACCCCCACCCAUUUACUUUUAAUCUGUAUGUACCUUUAU